GUGAUAGCACGUAGCUGGAAAUUGAUCGCUAGACCGUAAUUAGUGUUUGCAGAUCUGCUCAGUGGCAUCUGUCACGCCAUUAAUAUACUCCCAGUAAAACUUUUUAAUAUUAAAGU
Molecule: small RNA, 116 nt
Filed under: Glossina pallidipes
Lineage: Eukaryota; Metazoa; Arthropoda; Insecta; Diptera; Glossinidae
Description: arthropod 7SK RNA
Rfam family: Arthropod 7SK RNA
Source: RNAcentral